GGCCCUAUCGUCUAACGGCUAGGACAUCGCCUUUUCAAGGCGGUAAUCGGGGUUCGAUUCCCCGUAGGGUCACCA
RNAcentral lists this transfer RNA (75 nucleotides) under Candidatus Taylorbacteria bacterium RIFCSPHIGHO2_02_FULL_44_12. Its description in RNAcentral is "tRNA-Glu". It matches the Rfam family "tRNA". From Rfam's summary of the family: Transfer RNA (tRNA) molecules are approximately 80 nucleotides in length. Their secondary structure includes four short double-helical elements and three loops (D, anti-codon, and T loops). Lineage: Bacteria; Candidatus Tayloriibacteriota. The record is from RNAcentral.